GACGAACGCUGGCGGCGUGCCUAAUACAUGCAAGUAGAACGCUGAAGAGAGGAGCUUGCUCUUCUUGGAUGAGUUGCGAACGGGUGAGUAACGCGUAGGUAACCUGCCUUGUAGCGGGGGAUAACUAUUGGAAACGAUAGCUAAUACCGCAUAACAAUGGAUGACACAUGUCAUUUAUUUGAAAGGGGCAAUUGCUCCACUACAAGAUGGACCUGCGUUGUAUUAGCUAGUAGGUGAGGUAACGGCUCACCUAGGCGACGAUACAUAGCCGACCUGAGAGGGUGAUCGGCCACACUGGGACUGAGACACGGCCCAGACUCCUACGGGAGGCAGCAGUAGGGAAUCUUCGGCAAUGGGGGCAACCCUGACCGAGCAACGCCGCGUGAGUGAAGAAGGUUUUCGGAUCGUAAAGCUCUGUUGUAAGUCAAGAACGAGUGUGUGAGUGGAAAGUUCACACUGUGACGGUAGCUUACCAGAGAGGGACGGCUAACUACGUG
RNAcentral lists this ribosomal RNA (497 nucleotides) under uncultured bacterium. RNAcentral describes it as "partial 16S ribosomal RNA". It matches the Rfam family "Bacterial small subunit ribosomal RNA", at positions 28 to 507 of the family's 1533-position model. The record is from RNAcentral.